Molecule: long non-coding RNA, 750 nt
Organism: Oncorhynchus keta (chum salmon)
Lineage: Eukaryota; Metazoa; Chordata; Actinopteri; Salmoniformes; Salmonidae
Exons: 3
Source: RefSeq, a predicted model, not a curated record
GUAACCAGCAGGUAGCCUAGUGGUUAGAGUGUUGGACCAGUAACCAGCAGGUAGCCUAGUGGUUAGAGUGUUGGACCAGUAACCAGCAGGUAGCCUAGUGGUUAGAGUGUUGGACCAGUAACCAGCAGGUAGCCUAGUGGUUAGAGUGUUGGACCAGUAACCAGCAGGUAGCCUAGUGGUUAGAGUGUUGGACCAGUAACCAGCAGGUAGCCUAGUGGUUAGAGCGUUGGACCAGUAACCAGCAGGUAGCCUAGUGGUUAGAGUGUUGGACCAGUAACCAGCAGGUAGCCUAGUGGUUAGAGCGUUGGGCCAGUAACCAGCAGGUAGCCUAGUGGUUAGAGUGUUGGGCCAGUAACCAGCAGGUAGCCUAGUGGUUAGAGUGUUGGGCCAGUAACCAGCAGGUAGCCUAGUGGUUAGAGUGUUGGGCCAGUAACCAGCAGGUAGCCUAGUGGUUAGAGCGUUGGGCCAGUAACCAGCAGGUAGCCUAGUGGUUAGAGUGUUGGGCCAGUAACCAGCAGGUAGCCUAGUGGUUAGAGCGUUGGGCCAGUAACCAGCAGGUAGCCUAGUGGUUAGAGUGUUGGACUAGUAACCAGCAGGUAGCCUAGUGGUUAGAGUGUUGGGCCAGUAACCAGCAGGUAGCCUAGUGGUUAGAGUGUUGGGCCAGUAACCAGCAGGUAGCCUAGUGGUUAGAGUGUUGGACCAGUAACCAGCAGGUAGCCUAGUGGUUAGAGUGUUGGACCAGUAACCAGC